RNAcentral lists this ribosomal RNA (495 nucleotides) under uncultured bacterium. RNAcentral describes it as "partial 16S ribosomal RNA". It matches the Rfam family "Bacterial small subunit ribosomal RNA", at positions 28 to 505 of the family's 1533-position model. The record is from RNAcentral.
GAUGAACGCUGGCGGCGUGCCUAAUACAUGCAAGUCGAGCGAACAGAUGAGGAGCUUGCUCCUCUGACGUUAGCGGCGGACGGGUGAGUAACACGUGGAUAACCUACCUAUAAGACUGGGAUAACUUCGGGAAACCGGAGCUAAUACCGGAUAAUAUAUUGAACCGCAUGGUUCAAUAGUGAAAGACGGUUUUGCUGUCACUUAUAGAUGGAUCCGCGCCGCAUUAGCUAGUUGGUAAGGUAACGGCUUACCAAGGCAACGAUGCGUAGCCGACCUGAGAGGGGGAUCGGCCACACUGGAACUGAGACACGGUCCAGACUCCUACGGGAGGCAGCAGUAGGGAAUCUUCCGCAAUGGGCGAAAGCCUGACGGAGCAACGCCGCGUGAGUGAUGAAGGUCUUCGGAUCGUAAAACUCUGUUAUUAGGGAAGAACAAAUGUGUAAGUAACUAUGCACGUCUUGACGGUACCUAAUCAGAAAGCCACGGCUAACUACG